RNAcentral lists this ribosomal RNA (529 nucleotides) under uncultured bacterium. Its description in RNAcentral is "bacterial SSU rRNA". It matches the Rfam family "Bacterial small subunit ribosomal RNA", at positions 791 to 1315 of the family's 1533-position model. The record is from RNAcentral.
UAGUCCACGCCGUAAACGAUGAUUACUAGGUGUCCGAAGAGUUAACCCUUUGGGUACCGCAGUUCACGCAUUAAGUAAUCCGCCUGAGGAGUACGGUCGCAAGGCUAAAACUCAAAGGAAUUGACGGGGGCCCGCACAAGCGGUGGAGUAUGUGGUUUAAUUCGAAGCAACGCGCAGAACCUUACCUGGCCUUGACAUUUAGGGACAAUCCCAGAGAUGGGACUUUCACUUCGGUGACUCUAGGACAGAUGCUGCAUGGCUGUCGUCAGCUCGUGUCGUAAGAUGUUGGGUUAAGUCCCGCAACGAGCGCAACCCUUACCCUUAGUUGCCAUCAUUAAGUUGGGCACUCUGGGGGGACUGCCGGUGUUAAACCGGAGGAAGGCGGGGAUGGACGUCAAGUCCUCAUGGCUCUUACGGGCCCAGGGGCCCACACACGUACUACAAUGGCAAAGCAAAGGGUCGCGAUAUCGUGAGAUGGAGCUAAUCCCAAAAACNUUAGUCUCAGUCCGGAUUGAAGUCUGCAAUUCGA